This 253-nucleotide ribosomal RNA is filed under the name uncultured bacterium. RNAcentral describes it as "partial 16S ribosomal RNA". It matches the Rfam family "Bacterial small subunit ribosomal RNA", at positions 524 to 776 of the family's 1533-position model. The record is from RNAcentral.
UACGUAGGGUGCGAGCGUUGUCCGGAAUUAUUGGGCGUAAAGGGCUCGUAGGCGGUUUGUCGCGUCGGGAGUGAAAUCAUCUGGCUUAACUGGGUGCUUGCUUUCGAUACGGGCAGACUAGAGGUAUGCAGGGGAGAACGGAAUUCCUGGUGUAGCGGUGAAAUGCGCAGAUAUCAGGAGGAACACCGGUGGCGAAAGCGACUCUCUGGUCGGAUCCUGACGCUGAGGUGCGAAAGUGUGGGGAUCAAACAGG